AAUUCCAGCUCCAAUAGUGUAUAUUAGAGUUGUUGCAGUUAAAAAGCUCGUAGUUGGAUUUCUGUCGUGGUCAUCCGGCGCCGCCCGUAUGGGUGUGCACCUGGUAUGCCCGCGGCUUUUUUCCGGUUAUCCUUCCGCGCUUAAUUGCGUGUUUGUUGGUGUUCCGGAACUUUUACUUUGAGAAAAAUAGAGUGUUUCAAGCAGGCUUGUCGCCCUGAAUACUUCAGCAUGGAAUAAUAAGAUAGGACCUUGGUUCUAUUUUGUUGGUUUCUAGGACCUAGGUAAUGAUUAAUAGGGACAGUUGGGGGCAUUCGUAUUUAACUGUCAGAGGUGAAAUUCUUAGAUUUGUUAAAGACGAACUACUGCGAAAGCAUUUGCCAAGGAUGUUUUCAUUAAUCAAGAACGACAGUAGGGGGUUUGAAGACGAUUAGAUACCGUCGUAAUCUCUACCAUAAACUAUGCCGACUAGAGAUAGGGAAAUGCCUACCUUGGCUUCUCCUG
RNAcentral lists this ribosomal RNA (501 nucleotides) under Cyclospora sp. Guangzhou 1. RNAcentral describes it as "SSU rRNA". It matches the Rfam family "Eukaryotic small subunit ribosomal RNA", at positions 581 to 1083 of the family's 1831-position model. The record is from RNAcentral. Lineage: Eukaryota; Apicomplexa; Conoidasida; Eucoccidiorida; Eimeriidae.